Molecule: ribosomal RNA, 492 nt
Filed under: uncultured bacterium
Lineage: Bacteria
Description: partial 16S ribosomal RNA
Rfam family: Bacterial small subunit ribosomal RNA
Source: RNAcentral
AGUGAACGCUGGCGGCAUGCCUAACACAUGCAAGUCGAACGGCAGCACAGUAAUCGCUUGCUCUUCGGGGUGCCAAGUGGCGGACGAGUCAUGAAUACAUCGCAAUCUACUUUUUCGUGGGGGAUAACGUCGGGAAACUUACGCUAAUCCCGCAUACGACCUACGGGGGAGAGCAGGGGAUCUUCGGACCUUGCGGGAGUGAAUGAGCCGAUGUCGGAUUAGCUAGGUGGCGGGGUAAAGGCCCACCAAGGCGAAGAUCUGUAGCUGGUCUGAGAGGAUGAUCAGCCACACUGGAACUGAGACACGGUCCAGACUCCUACGGGAGGCAGCAGUGGGGAAUAUUGGACAAUGGGCGAAAGCCUGAUCCAGCAAUACUGCGUGUGUGAAGAAGGCCUUCGGGUUGUAAAGCCCUUUUGUUGGGAAAGAAAAGAAGCGGGUUAAUACCACGCUGUUAUGACGGUACCCAAAGAAUAAGCACCGGCUAACUUCGUG